UAAUAUGCAGGAAUUAUGCAAAGUCUAACCCA
This 32-nucleotide non-coding RNA is filed under the name Mus musculus (house mouse). Lineage: Eukaryota; Metazoa; Chordata; Mammalia; Rodentia; Muridae. The record is from RNAcentral.